CCAAGACAUACAGUGGUUAAAUUUAUUUUUUGCCUGGCAGUUUUGUACCCAAGAAGAUAAUUUUCUCUGAGAGAAUUGUGCUUCCAUGGAAGAUAAACUGCCUCAGGAGAAGGAAAAUCAGAACUUUCUGAUGGCAGUUGCUGACCAGAAGGGUUGGAGGACGUGGAAAAGAGGAAAUUGCAAGGCAAAUUGGAGCACCCCAUGUAAGGAGGAGGACCACAUUUGCUGAGGGAAGAAGAACAAGAAGAAGAGGAGGAAGAGGAAGAGGAGGAAGAAGAAGAGGAAAAAGAAGACCAGCAUUCACUAACUUCUGCUUGAAUUGGCAGAUUGGGUCCCCAGAGGAGAGCUGCAACUAUGCUCAGAUAACAUGGUAAAGACAGUUAAUACAAAAUAUUCUUCUAAAACCCGAUUCACUCCUUCCCAUAAAUACACACAGCAUCCAUGGGAGGAGUGAGCUUAAACUUAGGCCACAAUAAUACUGAGGCACACAUGCAAGAAAUAUAUGGCAAAGGUUUAACUCACAACACCUUGCAUGUGAAUUGGAUUUAAGUGAAGUAGAGCUUCACAAAUCAUAAGCCUCACUAUCUCCUUCAGUCAUUCUUUCUUUAUCUAGUGAAGUAAUUAUCUAACUUUGAUUAUUUUUCUUAUUAGUAUGAUCUGUUAUGUUUACAAUGUUCCUGUUAUUGAUCCAACCAUGAAUUCCGUGUAGAAAUCCCACCUCACAAUAAUGUACAGUCUUUUGAAUGUACCGCUGUAGCGUUUGCUAACAGUUUAUUUAAAAUUAUCGUAUUCAGCUUCAUUAUGGGUAUUGGUCUACAACAGUCAUCCUCUAAUACAUCUCUCCCUGGUUGAGAUAGUAAUACCAUAGUUGUAACAUAGAAGGAAUUUGGUAGGAUCCCUUCUUUGCUUAUUUUUGCAAACAAUUUAUGUGUAGCACAUAUAGAGCUCUGAGGCUCGCUCAACAUCCCCUAGCAGGUCAUAUCUUGAGAGCUGGGCUACUAUAUUUCUCAUGUAGUUCCUGGCAAGCAUAUGCCAAAAACACAUGUAUUAAUGUUUUGUCAUCAACAAUAACCAGUUGCCAUGAGUGACCUUUUACAAAAGCAUAUUUACUGCGAUGACAUGUCAAGUCUUAAGGCACAAAAGCCUUUGAAAGUGGGAGUACAGUCCUCUCUAGUCAUCCAUGGUGAGAAUAGGCUCGGUCUUGUAGAGGUUGUUUUCUUCUAGGUGAAGUUUAGCCAAAAGAAGGCUCACUCUCUUGCUUCCAUGACACGGUUUUUCAGCUGCCUGACUUACUCCUCCAAUGGGCUGGACCAAACAGGGAACUCUUUAGGUCUACUUCUUCACUACAGCCUCAAAAGCUCCCAGCAUAUUCUGUUAUGGACUCUAGGUGUUGCUGGUUCUUCCAAUAUUCCAAGACGCACAAGGAUGUGCAAUUUGGUCCAUUCUGUCUCUGGUUUUCCUUCCCUUAACAUCAGCAAAGAAUAACACAAAGAAGCAAAGAAUCAGAACCAAGGGUUCAUGACUACAUAUAACCUUCUCUACUUCAAGCAGGCCCCUGCAGUUCUGCUUCCUUCUCACUUGAAAGGUGCCAGGGAAAAGAGUGAGUGUUAGUUACUUUGGACCUUGUAUAUGUAUGUAUUCUCAUUUCCAAUUCCACUGUCAAAUAAAUGCCUUUAUGUCACCAUGCAGAAAACCAACAGGCAACAGUCAAGAUAUCUUCCUAUGUUCUGAAUGGAGGCAUAGGUCCUCCAUCGCACAUAGUCAUACCUCUCCAGAAGCAGUUUCAUCAAUAUCUGUGCAUACUCCAAGGGGCCAGCCCUUAUGGCCAUUCCUGCAUUAUAUAAGUACUACUGUUAUUAAUUACUCUUGGAAUGUUGGAUACAUUUCACACCAUCCAACUUCCUCUGGUAGUUCAUUGAUGGAUGGUUCAAAUUAUUUUUUGGAGAUUUGUUUGCUUAAAUUCUCUCUUAUGUUGAUGUGCAUAUUAUAUUUUUGCAGAUAUUCAUCCAUUACAUUUAAAUGUUGGCAUAAAGAACCAGCAGAACAUUGUACAAAGUAACAGACGUGUUGUGCAAUGACCAACGUUGAUAGACUUAGCCCUUCUCAG
Non-coding RNA from Phascolarctos cinereus (koala), 2107 nucleotides. The record is from RefSeq and is a predicted model, not a curated record. NCBI's taxonomy places the organism in Eukaryota, Metazoa, Chordata, Mammalia, Diprotodontia, Phascolarctidae.